This 444-nucleotide ribosomal RNA is filed under the name uncultured bacterium. RNAcentral's name for it is "partial 16S ribosomal RNA". It matches the Rfam family "Bacterial small subunit ribosomal RNA", at positions 338 to 795 of the family's 1533-position model. The record is from RNAcentral.
CCUACGGGUGGCAGCAGUGGGGAAUAUUGGGCAAUGGAGGCAACUCUUACCCAGCAAUGCCGCGUGAAUGAAGAAGGUCUUCGGAUUGUAAAGUUCUUUAAUUGGGGACGAAAAAAAUGACGGUACCCCAGGAAUAAGCCCCGGCUAAAUACGUGCCAGCAGCAGCGGUAAUACUUAGGGGGCAAGCGUUGUUCGGAAUGACUGGGCGUAAAGGGUGGGUAGGCGGGGUAGCAAGUUAGAAGUGAAAUACCUUGAGCUUAACUCAGGUGCUGCUUCUAAAACGGCUAUACUUGAGUGCAGUAGAGGAAGGUGGAAUUACUGGUGUAGCGGUGGAAUGCGUAGAUAUUAGGAGGAACAUCAGUGGCGAAGGCGACUUUCUGGACUGUAACUGACGCUGAGGCACGAAAGUGUGGGGAGCAAACAGGAGUAGAUACCCGAGUAGUC